Molecule: long non-coding RNA, 320 nt
Organism: Carassius carassius (crucian carp)
Lineage: Eukaryota; Metazoa; Chordata; Actinopteri; Cypriniformes; Cyprinidae
Exons: 3
Source: RefSeq, a predicted model, not a curated record
GAACUUGAACGAGAGCAAACGCAGUUGCGAAUGAUAAAUAACGAGGUUGUGAUGAGACGGACGCAAGAGAUUUAAUCAACAUCUUUUCCAGGGAGAAACUAUUUUAUUUUUGUUUUCUGAUUUAUACCUUUCCUUAGCCGGGUUUUUUUUUUUGUCCUUGCUGAAGACUUGUGUUCCUGAAUCUGUCCUUGCCGAAUAUUCAUAUUACGGUUUGGACUUGCAAGCCAUUCCACCAACUCGUACCUGAAACAGAGAAAAGAGAGUGAAAUCUGCCGAACUGGUAGGAUCAAAAUAUUUUUUUUAUUAGCUUUGAGUUUUUU